AACCAGAGAUACACUCAGCGUGCUUCUCUUCUAUUUCCAGUUAGAGAAAAAUCAACAACCAGAGAUACACUUAGCGUGGUCUCUCUAGGUUUCUUGGAGCUUCCUUCUCGUCAAGUUUUUUUCCGUUUCGUACAAUUCUACUGAACGGAGUGGAAUUGAAUCGUAUGUUUGAUAAGUAUUGAAGGUGAUCUUCAAACCCCUCAACGCCCAGCUCUCUGCAAAGGAUCAGGCAAAGAGACAUCUGAAACUCAAUAUUAGAUGUUGUUUAAAGGUCACAUCCCAAACAGAUAUGAUCAAAGACUGUUGUUGCCUUAGUUGCUGCUGCCAACCGCCGCC
Long non-coding RNA from Lycium ferocissimum, 336 nucleotides. RefSeq lists it as uncharacterized. The record is from RefSeq and is a predicted model, not a curated record. NCBI's taxonomy places the organism in Eukaryota, Viridiplantae, Streptophyta, Magnoliopsida, Solanales, Solanaceae. The transcript is spliced from 3 exons.